CUGUAAGCCUGCGAAGGUGGCCUGUGAGGGUUGCUGGAGGUAUCAGAAGUGCGAAUGCUGACAUAAGUAACGAUAAAGCGGGUGAAAAGCCCGCUCGCCGGAAGACCAAGGGUUCCUGUCCAACGUUAAUCGGGGCAGGGUGAGUCGACCCCUAAGGCGAGGCCGAAAGGCGUAGUCGAUGGGAAACGGGUUAAUAUUCCCGUACUUGGUGUUACUGCGAAGGGGGGACGGAGAAGGCUAUGUUGGCCGGGCGACGGUUGUCCCGGUUUAAGCGUGUAGGUGUGUGUUC
This 289-nucleotide ribosomal RNA is filed under the name Salmonella enterica. RNAcentral describes it as "partial 23S ribosomal RNA". It matches the Rfam family "Bacterial large subunit ribosomal RNA", at positions 1241 to 1533 of the family's 2925-position model. The record is from RNAcentral. Lineage: Bacteria; Pseudomonadati; Pseudomonadota; Gammaproteobacteria; Enterobacterales; Enterobacteriaceae.